UGGGGAAUAUUGGACAAUGGGCGAAAGCCUGAUCCAGCCAUGCCGCGUGAGUGAUGAAGGCCCUAGGGUUGUAAAGCUCUUUCGCCAGGGACGAUAAUGACGGUACCUGGAUAAGAAGCCCCGGCUAACUUCGUGCCAGCAGCCGCGGUAAUACGAAGGGGGCUAGCGUUGUUCGGAAUCACUGGGCGUAAAGCGCGUGUAGGCGGACUGCUAAGUCGGGGGUGAAAUCCCGAGGCUCAACCUCGGAAUUGCCUUCGAUACUGGCAGUCUUUGAGUCCGGGAGAGGUGAGUGGAACUCCUAGUGUAGAGGUGAAAUUCGUAGAUAUUAGGAAGAACACCAGUGGCGAAGGCGGCUCACUGGCCCGGUACUGACGCUGUGACGCGAAAGCGUGGGGAGCAAACAGGAUUAGAUACCCUGGUAGUCCACGCCGUAAACGAUGGAAGCUAGCCGUCGGACAGCUUGCUGUUCGGUGCGCAGCUAACGCUUAAG
This 490-nucleotide ribosomal RNA is filed under the name uncultured Pseudomonadota bacterium. RNAcentral describes it as "bacterial SSU rRNA". It matches the Rfam family "Bacterial small subunit ribosomal RNA", at positions 355 to 864 of the family's 1533-position model. The record is from RNAcentral. Lineage: Bacteria; Pseudomonadati; Pseudomonadota.